ACGGUUUGUAAAUCAACAUAUUGGUUACAUAAGCAUGGAAGCAUCCCUGGAGGUGAAACAACGAAUUGCUGUGUGUAGUCUUUGCCCAUCUCCCACGAUGGGCUUUUUUUUAA
RNAcentral lists this non-coding RNA (113 nucleotides) under Escherichia coli. RNAcentral describes it as "antisense sRNA RprA". It matches the Rfam family "RprA RNA". From Rfam's summary of the family: Translational regulation of the stationary phase sigma factor RpoS is mediated by the formation of a double-stranded RNA stem-loop structure in the upstream region of the rpoS messenger RNA, occluding the translation initiation site. Clones carrying rprA (RpoS regulator RNA A) increased the translation of RpoS. The record is from RNAcentral. Lineage: Bacteria; Pseudomonadati; Pseudomonadota; Gammaproteobacteria; Enterobacterales; Enterobacteriaceae.